UACGGAGGGUGCAAGCGUUAUCCGGAUUCACUGGGUUUAAAGGGUGCGUAGGCGGGCAGGUAAGUCAGUGGUGAAAUCUCCGAGCUUAACUUGGAAACUGCCAUUGAUACUAUCUGUCUUGAAUAUGGUGGAGGUGAGCGGAAUAUGUCAUGUAGCGGUGAAAUGCUUAGAUAUGACAUAGAACACCGAUUGCGAAGGCAGCUCGCUACGCAUAUAUUGACGCUGAGGCACGAAAGCGUGGGGAUCAAACAGG
Molecule: ribosomal RNA, 253 nt
Filed under: uncultured bacterium
Lineage: Bacteria
Description: partial 16S ribosomal RNA
Rfam family: Bacterial small subunit ribosomal RNA
Source: RNAcentral